AUUGAACGCUGGCGGCAUGCCUUACACAUGCAAGUCGAACGGCAGCGCGGGCUCCGGCCUGGCGGAGUGGGGAGAACGGGAGUAUAAUACCGCAACACGUGCGAAGGAGGGGGGGAUAGAGGGGCGAGCGCCGGAAAAAUACCGCACAAGCCAUGGGGGUAAGAGGGGGGGAUCCUGAGCCCGCGCGGUCGUGGCGGGGCCGAUGGCAGAUUAGCUAGUUGGUGGGGUAAAGGCUUACCAAGGCGACGAUCUGUAGCUGGUCUGAGAGGACGACCAGCCACACUGGGACUGAGACACGGCCCAGACUCCUACGGGAGGCAGCAGUGGGGAAUUUUGGACAAUGGGCGAAAGCCUGAUCCAGCCAUGCCGCGUGUGGGAUGAAGGCCUUCGGGUUGUAAAGCGCUUUUGUCGGGAACGAAAAGGAUUGUGCUAAUACCGCGGUUUGAUGACGGUACCCGAAGAAUAAGCACCGGCUAACUACGUG
This 484-nucleotide ribosomal RNA is filed under the name uncultured bacterium. RNAcentral describes it as "partial 16S ribosomal RNA". It matches the Rfam family "Bacterial small subunit ribosomal RNA", at positions 29 to 507 of the family's 1533-position model. The record is from RNAcentral.